CAGUAGCCGCGGGAAUACGUAGGGUGCGAGCGUUGUCCGGAAUUAUUGGGCGUAAAGGGCUCGCAGGCGGUUUCUUAAGUCUGAUGUGAAAGCCCCCGGCUCAACCGGGGAGGGUCAUUGGAAACUGGGAAACUUGAGUGCAGAAGAGGAGAGUGGAAUUCCACGUGUAGCGGUGAAAUGCGUAGAGAUGUGGAGGAGCACCAGUGGCGAAGGCGACUCUCUGGUCUGUAACUGACGCUGAGGAGCGAAAGCGUGGGGAGCGAACAGGAUUAGAUACCCGUGUAGUCCCUGUCUCUUAUAC
Molecule: ribosomal RNA, 301 nt
Filed under: uncultured bacterium
Lineage: Bacteria
Description: partial 16S ribosomal RNA
Rfam family: Bacterial small subunit ribosomal RNA
Source: RNAcentral